CCUGCGCCAGCUGGCCCGAUGCACAUCGUGGCUCACCUCGACGUCCUGAAGCUGCCGCUGAAGGUCAGAGACCUUCUUCGACCACUCCUGGUCGCCGUCGGCCUGAGCCAAGAGCCGGGACGAACUUCCUCCCAGCUGGCCGAUCUUCCCCAUCGCAGCCGACAGUUCCACCUUGAGGGCGCUAAUCUUGGCGGCCUGAGCCCAAAUUCGAUCGCUGGCGCUCUUCUUGCAUUCCGCGAGCUCCUUCACGAAAUCCACCUUCCUCCGGCUAUACUCCAUGAUCCCCUUCACGUGGAGAUUCC
This 302-nucleotide long non-coding RNA is filed under the name Elaeis guineensis (African oil palm). RNAcentral describes it as "long non-coding RNA (EGUI_LNC027181)". The record is from RNAcentral. Lineage: Eukaryota; Viridiplantae; Streptophyta; Magnoliopsida; Arecales; Arecaceae.